GUUUGGGGGAUAAUAGCGAAACUACAAAAAGUGGUUCCACUAGGUAAAUUAAAACAAAAUCGAUACAACAACACCAUCUCGCUCUCGUCAUUCAUUUAGGUACUACCUUCCGCGGGAUUCUCAGUCUCCAUUGCUUCGGCAGAAGCUGGUUGCUCUGGCUCACUCUUGCCCUCAUCCGCCUGCUCACCUCCCUUGGCUUGUGGUGCCUCUGCUUUAGCCGCCGGCUUUGGUUUGGUCAUUAUAGGCCUGCAAAACCUGUAAAACAUCCAAAGCUGGUUCAAUCUCUAUUAUCAUAUAGCAUUUCUAUUAGAGACACAGAUACAAAGAGCCUUGCUUACUUGUCCAAUGCCUCUGCCUUGCUUUUUACGUCAGCUGACAAGAGAGCCGGUGUGGCAUACUUGGGAAGCGUGUCCUGCUGCUGCUGCUUCUCCCGCAGCCAUGCUUCUGCUUCCACACACUCGUUCAAAACCUUAAUCAUUGCACAAGAACAAAACACAUUUCAAACCAUUUUACCCAAGCCUGUGAAAUUUAAGAUUUGUUCUGCGCUUUCGAGAUGAGCCGAAUUAUUACCUUUUGCUUCUCUGCCAAUUCAAUGUGAUCAAACUUGGGAUCAUUAGACACAGCUGCCUCUCUGUAGCUGUUAAUACAGUAGCCAAGCUGAUCAAUGACCGACCCUCUUUCCAACGACUCCUUGUAACGCACUUCAACAGGGUCACCCACCUGCAUAAUAUUAAUCCCACUCCUCUGUUAAAACAUUAUCCUGAAAUAUGAUUUCUUCCUGCACAAUAUAAAGUGUCAUCAUAUGCAUGGUUUACCUUCUUGAGCUCCUCGAGCUUUGCAACAUAAACACCUUUGGUCUCAUCUUCCCCAUCUUCAUACAACCAAUCCUCAACUUCCUGCAGAUUCGCCAGGAAUGCUUCCCUCUCCGAGUCAGUGAUAUAUUCUGGUAUUUGUCACUCAGCUGAAAACAAGACACGUCAGUACUCAAUACUCAAAACUUUACAUAUGCAUACUGCCAAUGAAAAGACGAAAUAAAGAUUUCUCACUUUGUUUCGCAUAUCAUAAACAUAAGACUCAACAGCAUUCUUCCGGUCCUUGGUCUCUUCCAUAACUCUGUCUUGCAGAGCCAUCUCAAAUUCCUUCUCCACUGCCUUUUCAACUUCCACAGUUUUCAAGGCACCAUAGACCAAUUCUGACAGUGGUACAUUUGUUUUCUUCACCUUCUUCUUUGGAGCCUCUGCCUGCACAAUCCAAUAAUAAAGUAUCCAUAAUUAUUUAUUGUUCACAAGCGAAUAGCAAACAGUAUGAGGUAAGAGAGAAACUAGCCUUUGAAUCAGUUUCCAUUUGCACCGGCUUCUCAGCAGACUCUGGAACACCAUUGUCAGUACCAGUUGCAUCACUGGUAUCUUUGGCGUCCUGCAUGUUAACAUCAGAGUCACCAGAAGCAGGAGCUGCCUCGGCAGAAGCUUUGUCAGUGUCCAUCUUAGCAGUUUCCUCUGAUUGAUCUUUUGUGACCGAUACUUCAACUUCUUCCUCUUCCAAAAGCUGCAUUUAGGAGAGAUAAAAGUGGAUAAAUUAACGAACCAUAAGUGGCUAAGUUCAUAAGGUAAGCCACGGUUCUGCAUGAUCAACUUGUAAUCAGUUAAUAGAGAGAAUCGGCCUUUAAAUAGUUCACGUAAAGAAACUUACAGUUGCUGAUUCAACAGAGACAAUUCCAUGCAGGUUCAAUCUAACUUUCACUUUCAGCUUUGCCCUCUCGCCUUUUGAUGACUGGAAGGGACCAAUCUACAAAAAGGAGAUCCACCAUUAGAAACAAGAGCACUACAGUCAUACAUAGUCUUGACAUUGGGCAAAGAUCAAACCGUGUAUGUGCUGAUUUUAGGAGGUGCUUGCAAAUCGUUCACAUCACUGUACUGCACAUCAAUAGAGAAUGUUCCAGAACGAUAAAAUGUUAGAGCCUUGACACUAGGAAUAGGAUUUCCUUUCGGAAAAACAAUAGUGCUCUGCUGGUUCUCAGUGCCUCCAUUUUGAGCAUCAGUCGCUGCUCCUUUCCAAGCAAGCGAUAUUGAGAAAGGGAAGCUCUCAUGAACCUAAGAGAACAAAAAAUAAAUCAUAAUAUGACUAGUCAGAUAACCUGGAGUAUAACAGUUCUCGAGUUGCUUACAAGUACAUUAAAAUAACGACAUUUACUUAAGCAUAGAUAUGCACAAAUUACCUGGAAUUCGCGAACUUUAAAGGUCGGACUGAGAAUGGCACACUGCAAGGCACAUCCCCUCGACACACACUCACUUGCAUUCAUUGUACGCCUGGGCUCCUUACCAAAAAACUCAGUUAGAAUCUUGAUCAUAGCAGGGACACGAGAGCCAGAGCCGACAACCUCGACCAUAUGUACAUCUUCAACAGUGAGGCCCGCAUCAGAGAGAGCUUUCUCUAAAGGCCUCUUAACACGCUCCAAAAUCGGGAUGCUGAUCUCUUCAAACUCUUCCCUCUUGAUGACACCCCUAACAUCUUUCUCAGCCAUCAAACACUCGAUAUUCAAUGGUGCCAUAGGAUUAGCGCUUAGAACCUUUUUCAGUUUCUCGCAUGUAGCGCGGAGCCUGAGAGAAGCCUUAGCAUUCUGGGAGACGUCAAUCUUGUACUCGUCCUUGAACUUAGCAGCAAAAUGAUUGAAAAGAACUUCAUCAAAAUCCCUUCCCCCAAGGGAGCGAUCGAAAGCGUGAGACAAGAUUUUGAGCUGUCCUUUUUUGAAGCCUGCAAUACAGACUUGCAUGCUUGCGUGUCCAAUGUCAAUGAAUGCAACAUUGAGCUGGUCAUUCUCUGGCAGAUCUGUCUUAUAAAUUCCGUAUGCCAAAGCCGUAGCUGUAGUCUCAUGGAUCAAGUGCAAGGGAUGCAAGCCUGCAAUUGUGGCAGCAUCGAGAACAGCCCUACGCUGGAGGUCGGUAAAGUAAACAGGAAUACCAAUACAGCAGUCGACCACAGCUGUAUUCAAAUUCUUCUCAGCAAUACCUUUCAAGUUGGACAACAUCAUACCCAUGACCUGAGUCGGGGUAAAGGCUCUAAUCUCUCCCAAAUAAUUAGCAUGGAUCAAAGGAUAGCCAUCAGGGCCUUCAGUGACAGAAAAGGGAAGGGAUUUGAUAUCCCUUUGAAGCUCAGGGUCGGAAAACUGGCGACCAAUUAAGCGCUUGAUUUGUGAGAUGGAGUUUUUGGGGUUCAUCAUGGUAGAAGCAGCUCCAGCAGUACCGAUGAAGCGCUGCUUGUCACCAAAGCAAACGAUAGCCGGAGUCUCGCGAUUUGACUCAUCAUUAAGCACGACGUCGAUACCUCUUUGCCUUGCAACAGCAACAAGGCAAUUCUCGUUUCCAAAAUCAAAACCAACUACACUCAUUGUUAGGCUUUGUGUUCUUCAGUACUGGGGCGUCCCACGUGUUCGAUAGCAACCUUAUAGAACAAAAAAAAGAAAAACACUAUCAGAUAGCGAUCGAAGCAGACUAGUCUUGAGCUCGAGAGAUUACAGGAGAUGACGAAUUGGCGGUAACUCAGGCCAGGUAGCCUUAAACCAUCGUAUUACUAAACCUAAAAUAAAACCACCAGUUUGGGUUUACAUCAACAAUACAUACAACGAAGAUUGGUGGAGUUUGAAACUAAAAUACAAAUCCGGAAGCAGCGAAAGCAGAAGAUUCAUAUUGAAACACAAGUACGAGGAACAAGUAAUCUGGCAACAAGAAAUAAAUAAAACCUAAAAGUGAGGAAAAAGAGAAGCAUCAGAUCUAGAAGAUCUGCAACUAGAGCAUACCUGGAUCGCGAGAGGGGUUCGCGUUCUGGAAGCUUCCACCGAAAUCUGGGUGAAGGUGAGAAAUCUGUAAUCGUGUCGCAGCCAAAAAGUGAAGAGGAAGGGAGAAGAGCUUCUUUUAUAAAGGAAGAGCAAGAGAGAAGAGGUUUUAAUUAAGGAGCAGACACCACCACAGGGUUUGGGUUCCUCUGGAAUGUUCUUCUCCUUUCCUUUUUUUUUUUUAUUUUAAAAACACUUUCAUUUCCUUUUUAUUUUUGUGAUAUUUUUGCCUAAAUUAUUUAUUUAUUGCCUUUUUUUUUCUUAGGUUUUUUUUUUUUAUCCCAGUGUUUUUGUAUAUUUUUAUUCGAGUCUACAUAUAAUUAUUUAAACCCAAUGUAUUUAAAAUUAAUAAAAUUAUUAUAGAGAAGUGGCUGGUGUUAUCAGAAUUUGUGGUACAUAAGAUAUGCACGAACUAAUUGCAUUGUGGUGUCUGGAACAUGCCAUUAUCUGCGGCGCCCAGAGAUGAUUCAUGGAUUUAUGUUAGAGAUUUUCAUUGUCCUCACUGGUGCAGGCAGCUUAAUCACAUAUCGUAGCAGUCGCACUCAUUCUGUGCUCAUAACGAGGAAAUGAAUUCAUCCUUGUUUAACCCCGUUUGGAUUGGAGAAACGAUACAACUUCAGCCUGGAUGACCUCAAAGAUGUUGCCAAAGGCUACGACUGCUUCAUCAAGGAAGAUGUUCUUUGUACAACAAUGGUAAGGAAGAGAAGUGAGGAAGACGAGUUUUGUCACACUGAUUUCACGUAAGAUAUAAGAGAAAAGAUGUUAAGCUUAGGGGGUUCAAAGUUGCCUUUUAAAGCUCCAAUAUAUAUAGAACCAAAUUGCAUUUCAUUUGCUGUUUAUAAAAACAGCCCAGUCCAACAUAGAACGAAUCCGUGUACACUCCAUAAUAGUUAUAUAGAGGAGCAGAAAAAAUGACUUUCAAAUUAAAAACAAAACCACAAGGAACAAUAAGAAAAAAGAUGCUUCCUAAAAAUUGUUUUCGAAAAGGAAGAAUUAACAAUAUAGAUUUUUUCCGGGAAUAAUAGCGAAACCAGAAAAAGAGGUUCCACUAGGUAAAUCAAAAAGAGUUAAGAACAAAAUCGAUACAACACCAUCUCUCUCUCGUCAUUCAUUUAGGUACUACCUUCCGCGGGAUUCUCAGUCUCCAUUGGUUCGGCAGAAGCUGGUUGCUCUGGCUCACUCUUGCCCUCAUCCGCCUGCUCACCUCCCUUGGCUUG
This 5046-nucleotide long non-coding RNA is filed under the name Arabidopsis thaliana (thale cress). Its description in RNAcentral is "long non-coding RNA (ATHA_LNC000662)". Lineage: Eukaryota; Viridiplantae; Streptophyta; Magnoliopsida; Brassicales; Brassicaceae. The record is from RNAcentral.